RNAcentral lists this long non-coding RNA (3160 nucleotides) under Mus musculus (house mouse). RNAcentral's name for it is "predicted gene, 34245 (Gm34245)". Lineage: Eukaryota; Metazoa; Chordata; Mammalia; Rodentia; Muridae. The record is from RNAcentral.
CUCUGCUUGCUAGCUAGCCCACUCUGUUUCUUAUUUGAAAGGGCUUGGAGGUGUAUGUGAUUGGAAAUGAGGAGUCUGAGAUGUAAGGUCUGGGUUCACAUAGACCUCCUGGGUUAGUUUCUUAAUAUUGCUGGAACAGCAUGCCUGAUAGAAUCCUCAGUGCUAGGAAGGCUUUAUUUUGGUUAGCAGUAAGAUUUCAAAGGGUCUCUCUCAGUCCAUCUUGGCAAGCAAGGAAUAGAGCAGAGCUCCUGGUGGCAGCUACACUCCUGGUGGCGGCUGCUUAUGGGCACAGAACAGUCUGUGAAGGCUGUAACCGAAAGCAGAGGCCUACACCACAUGACCUGCCUUGCCUUGAAAAUGACAUCAGAAGCUGAACACUCAACCCGCUCGUGCCUGCAGAGGACUUUCAGAGCCACCUGUAACUGUGGCGCAUUCCCGUUUAGUUCUUGUGUAUUUCUGAAGGAGAACAUAUAUAGUCUUCCAGUACGGAGUGGCUAACAGGGAAAGCCCACUAUGGUCAAGUGCACCCUAGGGUGAAUGUUGCCUCUGUAAAUGAAUGAGUUGGUGAGUUUUGCUGAGAUUGGAGAAUAGAGAGGCAUUACCUGGCGAGGUGUAACCUUGCUGAAUCAGGUGUAACCUUGCUUACCAUUUUCCCAUCUCCCUCAGCCUGUGCCCCUCACGGCUCCCAGUUACUUGUACCUCAAGGCAGUCAACAUUGGAGCAUUCCCUUCUCCAGGAUGUGGAGAAACUGUUAGCACGGCCUCAAACUACUUAAGCAUUCCUGUUCUAAACCAAUGAGAUGCUAGCACUGUGCAGAGCACACAUCCCCAAUGCCACUGGAGGCUCUGGUGGAGUUUGGCAAGCUUGAGAGAAGCAUGAAGACCGUGCAGCCCUGGCUCACUGCAGAGAGAGUUGGAACUACAGACUUGAUCAAACUUCCCUAUGCUCCAAAGACCAGUAGCUGGCACUGCCUUUCUGACUGGGCUAAAGUAAGUUUAUAGAAAUGAGGCUAUUGUAGCUAAUUUUAAUUACCAGAAGAAAACUCAGAACUGUGUCGCUAUGAGAGUCUAAAUCACAUAAAAUCCCCCACACCAAAGAAGAUAAAAGCACAUUAAUCAUGCCAUAAACAUUCACGUGGGCAACGGUUAUAUAUUAUAAAAUGAGACCAUGAAAAGGUACUAAUGUUUUGCAGUAUUGCUCUAGCCCAACCUGCAAGCCUCCUCUCAGAGAUGCUCUCUGUGGGCUUCCCAGCACUCACACCAAGCCGGACUCCCCUCCCCCUUGCAGUGUUUUGCAGCCCCAGCAGUUUGUUCCACACCACUCACUAUCUGGUGUGUGUCUAUGGAUUAUUUGACAAUGUAAGAUUCCCUACAAGGCUAAUACACCUUUGCCCACCUUUUCCUCCCUAACACCCAGCAUGGUAUUUGUUGGAGAAGUUUCAAUAAUUUUCUCUCUGCUCUAUCCGGAAUGUUUGGCAGUCAAGGAAAGGCGGGACGAAGUGACGUCCUCUUUAAAUGGAAAGGUGUGCAUCCGGAGUCAUAGCUCAGUGACAGUCCAACCCUUGCCCCUGAACAUAGUAAACUUAGUAUUCUUGCAGGCAGUAGGAGCAAGGGAGUGGGUGGAGGGAAACCAAGGAGAAGUUAGGCAGAGAUUGGCACAACUUCCAGAAAGUGCACUCUCAUAACUAGAGUUGAGCUUUGUCCCAGACUAAAUCCUAACACAAGAUGUACAGAGAUGUCUGAGAGCUGCUUGAGAGAGUAGCAAAUGAUGAAGGAGAGGGCUCAUCAAAAUGAAGCUAUGACAAAAAAACCGUCUUGGUCUUUAUAGGUGCCCUAAUGGGAAAGAAGCUAAGGAACAGCCUUGGGCAGGCAGUGUACUGGUUUCAACUAGGCUCUUGGCAAGGGUCCUUGUAGUGUGGAGAGGUGGAGAAAUACGGGUUGAACUCAGCUAAUCAAGCUGAGUGUGCACAUGCCCUGUUUAACACCAGGCUGUCCAGUGUCAGUUCCCUCGUAGGCUGUUGAUUUAUGAGAUAGCCUCUUCCUAUGUUCACAUAUAAUUACAGCAACGAGAGCUGAUAUGAUAACUGCCUAUUGCAAAGACAGGCAGUGCCUGAGGUGCACAGAUUCACACAGGUCUCCUGGCAAAAAUACUAUGGCUAGUAAAAUGUAAAAGUUGAAGAAGUUGAGUCUUUGGAACUCCGGGAGUUCAUCCCAUCUCGGGGUCUGCAGGGUCUGCCCUGUCUGAUUACAUGUCCUUGCAUCAGGUUGUGACAGAUGCUCCUAGCUAGUAGAAAUUCAUGGCACAUGUGUAAUAAGCACUGUUGCAUGAUGUUCAAGCACAGGGCUACUGAACCAGAGCACACAGACCCUGAUGUGUUCUGUGGACUUGAUUCACAGGAAUUGCACACACACUUGAUUCACCUCUGGGUCCAACGUUUCUUUCGGCUGUUAACAUGGGUAACAAACAGAGGUGGUGUCAGCAGAAACUCCAAAGGUAAUACACAUAUGAACUGGUGACUUAAUGUCAUGCCAUUCAUUGCUGCUGCACAUAUUCAAAACAUCCUUUAUGCUACCACUUUAUAUUCACCCCCAGGUCCCAUUUAAUGCUUUAAUCAUACCUCAUACCGCAAUUUAAGAUGUAUAGCUCUGCUUCUACUCGAUGGUAUUAUUUUGUAACCAUGUCUAUUUUAUUUUAAUGUUUUAAAUGUUACAUUAUAGCAGGAGUCUCCAGUCCUUUUCAAAGUGCUGAAGACCUGAGCCCUGUCCCUUGUUGCCUAGCAUAUUCUACUGUGUGUGUGGCUUAUCCUGUGAUGGCUUCCUUUUGUGGUGUGUGUUUCACCCUUAGACAAAUUGUUAGACUCACAUGGCUGACAGUGGUAAGAGAUGGGAAUUGUCGGCUCACCUCAAAGUGCAGGGGAGGGACUUUACAUGGAAUGGUAAGACGUGCUCUCAGUGGGGCUGCUGAUGCUGACAUGGUUCAGCAAUUAGGAGCACUAGUUGCUCUUGCAGAGGACCUGGGUUCAGUUCCUGGUACCCACAUGGCUGCCCACAAUGGUUCUAACUCCAGUUCCAGGGUGUCUGAUGCCCUCUUCGCUUCCACAGGCACUACACACAAGAGGCGCACACAGACGCUAGCACACUUCAAUAAAAAUAAAUAAAUC